This 612-nucleotide unclassified non-coding RNA is filed under the name Peltigera lepidophora. Its description in RNAcentral is "sequence contains ITS1, 5.8S rRNA gene and ITS2". The stretch from base 233 to 387 matches the Rfam family "5.8S ribosomal RNA". Lineage: Eukaryota; Fungi; Ascomycota; Lecanoromycetes; Peltigerales; Peltigeraceae. The record is from RNAcentral.
UUUCCGUAGGUGAACCUGCGGAAGGAUCAUUAAUGAGGGCGUGUGGGCUAAUAUCCCCGCGAACCCUAAUCCUUUGUUUACUGCCCCAUUGUGGUUUUUACUUGGGCGCGGUUUGACUGGUGCCCAAAAGGCUGUGUCUCACACCCUCCCAAAAAAUAAAAAACCACAAGACAAAAAAAAAAUCUUAAUAAAAACACAAUUGAUGUCUGAAGUAAAUUAUUUAAACAAGCAAAACUUUCAACAACGGAUCUCUUGGUUCCGGCAUCGAUGAAGAACGCAGCGAAAUGCGAUAAGUAAUGUGGACCGCAGUACUCAGCGACUCAUCGAAUCUUUGAACGCACAUUGCGCCCCUUGGUAUCACCAAAGGGCACACCUGUUCGAGCGUCAUCAUACAUCGAAUCAGGCCUGGGCGCCCGGGCUUGCAAUUGGGCUUUGUCUGCUUUAUGUAGAAGUCUAAAAGACAGUGGCGGUUAAGUUAGGCAUUCCAGCGUAGUGAUUAUAUUAGCUGUUGAAAUGUCUUUUACAUGACAGCCAGGGUUUCUGCUGGCGGAAACCCUUGGUUUUUAAUCAAUUAUUGACCUCGGAUCAGGUGAGGAUACCCGCUGAAUUUAA